Molecule: ribosomal RNA, 441 nt
Filed under: uncultured bacterium
Lineage: Bacteria
Description: partial 16S ribosomal RNA
Rfam family: Bacterial small subunit ribosomal RNA
Source: RNAcentral
CCUACGGGAGGCAGCAGUGGGGAAUAUUGCACAAUGGGGGAAACCCUGAUGCAGCAACGCCGCGUGAGUGAAGAAGUAUUUCGGUAUGUAAAGCUCUAUCAGCAGGGAAGCAGAAAGACGGUACCUGACUCAGAAGCCCCGGCUAACUACGUGCCAGCAGCCGCGGUAAUACGUAGGGGGCAAGCGUUAUCCGGAUUUACUGGGUGUAAAGGGAGCGUAGGCGGCUGUGCAAGUCUGAAGUGAAAGCCCGUGGCUCAACCGCGGAACUGCUUUUGAACCUGCGGGUCUUGAGUGAUGGAGAGGCAGGCGGAAUUCCCAGUGUAGCGGGGAAAUGCGUAGAUAUUGGGAGGAACACCAGUGGCGAAGGCGGCCUGCUGGACAUUAACUGACGCUGAGGCGCGAAGGCGUGGGGAGCAAACAGGAUUAGAUACCCGAGUAGUC